GUUCCCAUGGCGUAGUGGUUAUCGCGUCAGAUUUACAUGAUACUGUCGUACGUCGUACGUCGUACAUGGAUUCUCUGAAGGUCUCCGGUUCAAUCCCGGAUGGGAAUA
Non-coding RNA from Pleodorina starrii, 108 nucleotides. NCBI's taxonomy places the organism in Eukaryota, Viridiplantae, Chlorophyta, Chlorophyceae, Chlamydomonadales, Volvocaceae. The record is from the annotation of a GenBank genome assembly.